Molecule: unclassified non-coding RNA, 380 nt
Filed under: uncultured fungus
Lineage: Eukaryota; Fungi
Description: partial contains 5.8S ribosomal RNA and internal transcribed spacer 2
Rfam family: 5.8S ribosomal RNA (bases 1-133)
Source: RNAcentral
UGGCUCUCGCAUCGAUGAAGAACGCAGCGAAAUGCGAUAAGUAAUGUGAAUUGCAGAAUUCAGUGAAUCAUCGAAUCUUUGAACGCACCUUGCGCUCCUUGGUAUUCCAUGGAGCAUGCCUGUUUGAGUGUCGCGAUACACCUCACCCCUGUGUCUUUCUCGGGAGACGCUAGCGGUGGACCUUGGACCGUGCCGUGCUUCGGCGGCUCGUCCCGAAAUGCAUUAGCCGGUGCUGCUUAGGGUUGCUUGUGGCUGGCGGUGUGAUAAUUAUCGGCGCCGUGACCUGCCUUAUGGGACCCUUCUGUCUGCGCUGCUUCCAGCCGUCCCUCCUGGGACAACUUUAAUGCUCUGGCCUCAAAUCAGGUAGGACUACCCGCUGA